Oryctolagus cuniculus (rabbit) is the source of this 878-nucleotide non-coding RNA. Lineage: Eukaryota; Metazoa; Chordata; Mammalia; Lagomorpha; Leporidae. The record is from RefSeq and is a predicted model, not a curated record.
ACUCCCUGGGCUUUUGCCAGCUCUUCUUAGACUGCCCCCUCGAGACCUGCCUGCGGCGGAAUGGCCGGCGGCCGCAGGCCCUGCCGUCGGAGACGAUCCGCCUGAUGGACACGAGGCUGGAAAGACCCGACGCUGGGACCCACGCCUGGGAGCGCCGCAGCCUCACCGUGGAGGGGCCAGCCUGCUCUGCCGAGGCCAGCCUGGAAGUGACUGAUUUAUUGCUUACUGCAUUGGAAAAUCCAGUAAAAUACGUUGAGGAAAACAUGGAACAAAAGGAAGCAGACAGGAUUAUUUGUUCAGCUAAUGUCCUUCAUAGAGCUGAUCAGACACUACGAAGAAUUGUUUCUCUGACGAUGAAGGAAGCAAAAGUACGUUUUCACUCAGUGGCUGCUCUGCACGAGGCCUUAUCCUGGAUGCUGGGGAGCUGCAGGAUUCAGAACAUCUGGAAGGAGAUGAAACAUGAAUACACGUCAGUGCCCUGAAGAAAAUUCGGAAAAACACUGGUUGGCAGUCACCGACGGGUUAGAACCCAAAGGUUGAAAAUGAAGACUGGAGGAGAAAGGGAGUGUCACUGGAGAGCAAAAACAGUUCCAGGAAUUCCGGCAGACACGUGCCGUUCUUCAGUUCUGUCCAGAACACGGAGGGAAGGGAACAGGAUGAACAAGUUCUUCCUUCCAACAUGAAGCUUCUAGCAGAAGAACUUAACAAGCUCAAAGCAGAGUUUCUGGAAGACCUACGACAAGGAAACAAAAAAUACCUGUCCUUUCAACAAACCACGGACUUCUCAGAUGUCAUUUCUGAUUUCCAUUAUGAGAAAGAUAACAUUGUACAGAAGUACUUCUCAAAGCCACAUUAAAUUUUCUGAAUUCCCAAUCAAA